Erythranthe guttata (spotted monkey flower) is the source of this 1611-nucleotide non-coding RNA. The record is from RefSeq and is a predicted model, not a curated record. NCBI's taxonomy places the organism in Eukaryota, Viridiplantae, Streptophyta, Magnoliopsida, Lamiales, Phrymaceae.
CACGCCCCAUACAAGAAAGAUCCUAAAUUUGUACAAAAACUGCAAGAACAACAAAACAAAGAAAUAAUAUUAUAUUUAUACCAUUGACCAGAUCAAACUUCUUACAUUCAAAACUUUGGGCUUCUUCUUCUUCUCGGCUGCCAUCAGGAAAUCAAUUAUAAUCUUGGGGAAUUUUCGGGUUUAUGCCGUCGAGAAUAACUUUUAUAUCUCAUCUAGUUUUAUCAAGGCUAGCUGAAUUUUCGGGAAAAAACGUCAAAUCCACGAGUUUUUACCGUCGAGGAAUAUUCUAUCUAUUAGCUCUCGUUGAAAAGUAAUUAUUAUUAGCAUGGAUCGAGUAUGCUCGAGCGGGAGCGAUUUAGAUUUAGAUUUAGACGUCGACUUGGAGAGCGGUGGCACGACAAGCGAGGAAGAUGCUAGCGUUUUAAAAUGCGAGAAUUCGAAGAUUCUCUUGUGUAGGAAAAACGGUGGAGAAUGUUCGUGUUCGUACGACAAGUGUAUAGUUUCUGACGAAAAUUUGGGGGCGUUUAGGGAAGAAGGGAUGAUAAGUUAUGUAGAUAAGUCGAUGGACGAUGAAAAGCCGAAGAAGAAGAAGAAGAAACAUUCGAAGCCGCCUCGCCCUCCAACGGGUCCUUCGAUCGGCGUUUCCGAUAUGAAAUUGUUGAAGGAGAUAUCCGAGAUCAAUAUGAAGCGUCGGAGAUUGGAAAAAAUCCGAAUGAAGAAAAUUAAAAAGGAGAAAACGUCUUCGUUGAGUGCUAAUCUCUUCGCCUGUUUGGUCACCGUCGUCUUUGUGCUUGUCAUCGUCUUUCACGGGAUUUUGGGUUCACGAACAUGAUGCCAAUCGUAAUGCAUCAGCAACUUUUCCAAGUAAUUUCGUGAUUUUUUCUCUCGGUUCUUUCUAUUAAUUUUAGCGACCGGCUUAGAUAUUUUGAUCUUUUACUACUCUAGUAGAACAUGUCCAUGAUCAAUUGUUUCUACACGACUUUAAAUAUUUAUUUUUAAUGAUUCUUAUGUAUCACUACAAGCUCGUUUUCGUUUUUUUUUUCCUUCUAACUCAAUAAAUGGAUGAUUUUUUUUAUUUAUUUUUAGUUUUUUAUUUUUAUUAUUAUUAAAAAAGACGAUAGUUACUGGUUCCCCAAUUCCCCUCCUGGUCUCUCGAAACAUGUAAUGAUAAUCAUAAACUAUAUGUUUUCAUAUAAAUGUAGAGAGUGUCGCUGAAAACGAUGCAUGGCAUAUCAUUCAACGAGUCGACAUUUCUCGUGACUUAAACUUGUUAUGUGCACGCGCAGUGUAGGAACGUAUUUCGCAAUACUUGAGCUGUAUAACUUACACGGAUCUUUACGCUUUUGUUUGUUGUUUUCAAGACUACCGAAAAUUUUCCAGCAUGAGAAAAGCAAGUGAAAAGAGGAAGUGAAGUUGGAGUACUUGUAUGAAAGAUGUGAUGAAUUAACACGACUCGGGCUUUCAUUUUUUUUUUUCUUUGAAACUCGUCGUUUAUGUUGUAUCUCUUGAGUUGAACUCAUGCAAGAUCUAUCAAAAUGUUGUAUCGAGUUAGAGCAUCUCCAACACACAGAAUUUUUAGCUUUUUAUGUAGAUUUUUAAAAUUUCAGCUAA